This 253-nucleotide ribosomal RNA is filed under the name uncultured bacterium. RNAcentral's name for it is "partial 16S ribosomal RNA". It matches the Rfam family "Bacterial small subunit ribosomal RNA", at positions 524 to 776 of the family's 1533-position model. The record is from RNAcentral.
UACGUAUGGAGCAAGCGUUAUCCGGAUUUACUGGGUGUAAAGGGAGCGCAGGCGGCUUUGCAAGUCUGAUGUGAAAGGCCGGGGCUCAACCCCGGGACUGCAUUGGAAACUGUAAAGCUAGAGUGCCGGAGAGGUAAGCGGAAUUCCUAGUGUAGCGGUGAAAUGCGUAGAUAUUAGGAGGAACACCAGUGGCGAAGGCGGCCUACUGGACGGUGACUGACGCUGAGGCUCGAAAGCGUGGGGAGCAAACAGG